ACGAACGCUGGCGGCGUGCUUAACACAUGCAAGUCGAACGGUGAUCUUGGGAGCUUGCUCUUGGGUGAUCAGUGGCGAACGGGUGAGUAACACGUGAGUAACCUGCCCCAGACUCUGGAAUAACCCCGGGAAACCGGAGCUAAUACCGGAUAUGACACCAAUCCGCAUGGGUAUGGUGUGGAAAGUUUUUCGGUCUGGGAUGGACUCGCGGCCUAUCAGCUUGUUGGUGAGGUAGUGGCUCACCAAGGCGACGACGGGUAGCCGGCCUGAGAGGGCGACCGGCCACACUGGGACUGAGACACGGCCCAGACUCCUACGGGAGGCAGCAGUGGGGAAUAUUGCACAAUGGGCGAAAGCCUGAUGCAGCGACGCCGCGUGAGGGAUGAAGGCCUUCGGGUUGUAAACCUCUUUCAGCAGGGAAGAAGCGAAAGUGACGGUACCUGCAGAAGAAGCACCGGCUAACUACGU
This 468-nucleotide ribosomal RNA is filed under the name uncultured bacterium. Its description in RNAcentral is "bacterial SSU rRNA". It matches the Rfam family "Bacterial small subunit ribosomal RNA", at positions 29 to 506 of the family's 1533-position model. The record is from RNAcentral.